This 2728-nucleotide long non-coding RNA is filed under the name Sus scrofa (pig). Its description in RNAcentral is "lncRNA (ENSSSCG00030012944.1)". Lineage: Eukaryota; Metazoa; Chordata; Mammalia; Artiodactyla; Suidae. The record is from RNAcentral.
UUGGGGUGUCUUUUCAUUUAAUUUGUAUCAUCUUCAGUUUCCUUCAUCAAUGUCUUAUACUUUUCAGUGUAUUAAUCUUUCACCUCUGUGGUUAAAUUUAUUCAUACGUAUUUUAUUAUUUUUGAUACAAUCAAACAUUUUUCCUUAUUUUCUCUGAUACUUUGUUAUUAGUAGAGAGCAAAAUGACAGAUUUCUGUACAUUGUGUGUACUUCGAUUUACUGAAUUUAUGCUAAUGUUGAUGAAGUCUUUAGGGUUUUCUCUGUAUUAUCAUGUCAUCUGCAAACAGUGACAUUUUUACUUCCUUUACAAACUCGAUCCAUUUCUUUUGUUUUUUUGUCUUUUUGCAAUGGCCAGGAGUGUUGAUACUGUGUUGAUGAAAAGUGGUGAGAGCAAGCAUCUUGCCCUGCUUUACCUUUACCCUAUAUUCCUGCUCGAAAAACAGGCGCAGUGCUGGCAGAUGACUUAAGCUUAAGAACAAAGACCUGAAGGCAUAAGUUAUUCAUGUGGUCAGCUGAAUGAGGACAUAAUGCGUUGGUCUAGGCAUGCUGGACCUGUGCAGAUAGGCAUGCUGUUUGCACAGCAUGAUACAUCCUCUUAAGAAUAAGAGGAAGAUGAGCCUCCUGGCCCCAAGGGAUUUAUGAGAGGUCCUUAGUAGGAUAUGCAUCAGCAAGGAGAACCGAGGUGCAAACCUAGGCACACAGGGUUGCUGCAGAUAGGCAUGCUGUCUGCAGAAGCACAGCGGUGAUUCUCUAGAUGCUAUGCAUAGAUGGGAGGCACCUAGCUUCCUCAGUGCUAAGGACUGUUAAAUGCCUAAAGGAUAAAAGCUUAAUCAGCAACCGGCUAUGGGGCUUUUAAAAUAAUAAUAAAAAAACCUAUAUCCUGCAUCUAUCGGCCCCUCCUCACUUGCCGUCAUCCUAAAGAGCACAAUGAAAACAGUGUGGUUUCUUGAGGCAGCGCUCUUGGUCCCUGAGACCUUGAGUGCCCCAGUUCCCACCUUUGAUUAAGAUAAAUGUCUCUGUGUCUUGUUUUAUGUUAACUUUUUCUUAAGUUUCACAGCACCCAUCCUUCAGCGCUCACCUGCUGAGCUGGUCUUGGCAGACCUGGGAAAUCGGGUUCCUUCUCCAGGCUAGGAAAUUCAUCAGUUAGUAUGUCCUCCAAAUUCUCUGCCCCCUUCUCUCUUUCUCCCCUUUCUGGGACCCCUAUAAUGCUGUUAAUAUUCUUGAUGUUGUCUAAGAGGUCCUUUUACCCAUCAUCUCUUGUUUACUUCUUGCUAUUCAACUUUUGUGAUUUUCACUAUUGUCUUCCGGGUCACUGAUCUAAUUCUUCUGUAAUAUAUAAUGUUGCUUCCCUCCAGUGUGUGUGUGUAAUCUCAGUUGUAUUUUGAGCUGUUUGCUCUUUUAUAUUUUAAUAUUCUUUGUUGAAGUUCUGAUUUAUUACUCUUUGUUGAAGUUCUAACUAUGUCCCUCUAUUAUUCUCCUAACUUGAGUGAGCACCUUUAUAAUCGUGGAUGCCUUUUUUUCAGGUAGAAUGCUUGUCUCAGCUUUGUCUAGUACUUUUCCUGCUGCUGUCUUGUUACUUCAUUUGUAACAUUUACUUUCUUGUUUCCAUAUUCUCUGUGCAUUUCUAUUCAUUAGGUUUGGUUCAUUGCAUUUCCCAGUCACAGAGAAGUGGCCUUAUCUACAGGGCCCAAUAGCACAUUCCCUUUUGGCCAGCAGAGCCAGACGCUCUGGGGGGAGGGUCCCCCAUGUGGAAUGCCUGCACCUUUUUGCAGUGGCAGGGCCAGGUACUGUGGACUAGCUGGUAGGUGGCAUUGGACCCUGGCCUAAAUGGCUGAGGCCCUGCAUUAUGUGAUUGCUGUGGGUGUGCUGGAGGGCACGCAGCCCUCUGUUACGGAGAGCUGUGUGGUGCUCAGGUAGUGGGGUGGGCCCCAAGUGUGCCUGGUUGUGAGGCCUUGUGUUGCAGAGGUGCUGUAGGCAUGGUGGUGGAUGGGAAAGACCCUAAUGCUAAUCAGUUAGAUAAUCAUUUCAUGAUGUAUUUUAGUCAAAUUAUUAUGCUGUACACCUUAAACAGUGUUGUAUGUCAAUUAUAUCUCAAUAAAAGUUAAAGGAAAAAAUGAAUAAUACCUUAAUAAACCUAACUUAGGAAAAAAAGUUAUAGCAAGAUUAAGUGAAUCCCCCACCAGACUUCCAUGUCUUUGUUGUUAGGAAAUCUAUCAAUAUAAUUUACCACCUUAUAAAUUUAGGAAAGGCCUGGGAUCAACUUUACAGAUGCGAACAAAGUAGCAUGGUAGAAUUGUAUAGGUAAUACUUAUAAAAAUAAAGAAGGUAUUAAUGCAUAUGUACUCAAAGAAAUGUUACAUACCCCCAAUACUAGUUCAUCUAGAAAAGUAGUAUAGAUUAAUAAUUCUCAUUCUGACAGAAAAUUAAUGAGAAAACACCGACCUGCAUAACACUUUAGAGAAGUAAACCAAGGAGUUCCCGUCAUGGCUCAGUGGUUAACAAAUCCGACUAGGAACCAUGAGGUUGCAGGUAUGAUCCCUGGCCUCGCUCCUGGGUUAAGGAUCCGUCGUUGCCAUGAGCUGUGGUGUAGGUCGCAGACGUGGCUCGAUCUGGCGUUGCUGUGGCUCUGGUGUUGGCCUGCAGCUACAGUUCCGAUUAGACCCCUAGCCUGGGAACCUCCAUAUGCCAUGAGUGCAGCCCUAAAANAAAAAAAAAAAAAAAAAAAAAA